UACGUAGGGUGCGAGCGUUAAUCGGAAUUACUGGGCGUAAAGCGUGCGCAGGCGGUUUUGUAAGCCAGAUGUGAAAUCCCCGGGCUUAACCUGGGAACUGCAUUUGUGACUGCAUUGCUGGAGUGCGGCAGAGGGGGAUGGAAUUCCGCGUGUAGCAGUGAAAUGCGUAGAUAUGCGGAGGAACACCGAUGGCGAAGGCAAUCCCCUGGGCCUGCACUGACGCUCAUGCACGAAAGCGUGGGGAGCAAACAGG
Molecule: ribosomal RNA, 253 nt
Filed under: uncultured bacterium
Lineage: Bacteria
Description: partial 16S ribosomal RNA
Rfam family: Bacterial small subunit ribosomal RNA
Source: RNAcentral